GCCUGGGUGGCUUAGUUGGUUAAGCAUCUGACUUCGGCUCAGGUCACAAUCUCACAAUUUGUGGGUUCGAACCCCGCAUCAGUCU
Molecule: transfer RNA, 85 nt
Filed under: Felis catus (domestic cat)
Lineage: Eukaryota; Metazoa; Chordata; Mammalia; Carnivora; Felidae
Rfam family: tRNA
About the family: Transfer RNA (tRNA) molecules are approximately 80 nucleotides in length.
Source: Rfam by way of RNAcentral